RNAcentral lists this ribosomal RNA (254 nucleotides) under uncultured bacterium. Its description in RNAcentral is "partial 16S ribosomal RNA". It matches the Rfam family "Bacterial small subunit ribosomal RNA", at positions 524 to 776 of the family's 1533-position model. The record is from RNAcentral.
GACGGAGGAUGCAAGUGUUAUCCGGAAUCACUGGGCGUAAAGCGUCUGUAGGUGGUUCAAUAAGUCAACUGUUAAAUCUUGAGGCUCAACCUCAAAAAUCGCAGUCGAAACUAUUAAACUAGAGUAUAGUAGGGGUAAAGGGAAUUUCCAGUGGAGCGGUGAAAUGCGUAGAGAUUGGAAAGAACACCGAUGGCGAAGGCACUUUACUGGGCUAUUACUAACACUGAGAGACGAAAGCUAGGGUAGCAAAUGGG